UCGCUCCGCACCAUCACCGGACAUCAGCAAUCACGCUACCUUCCAUCCCCAUCCAUUUUCCGGACACUAGAGAUCACGCACCCCUCCGCUCUCUCCUGCAGGCUGCGCCCACUCGCCUCCUCCCCUCCCCACUCCGACGACGGAGCGGCCGGUGUAGCCAGGCAGAGCCACGGCUCGCGACCAGCGUGGCCGGGCCCCGGGCAGGAGCGCGUGAAGCCCUGCGGCGAGCAUGUGGCAGCCCUGAUUCCUGCCCGUAGCUCGACGAUAACCUCAUCGAUCUGCAGCCCCUGCCUCCCCCGCUGCCGCGCCACCCCCACCAGCCAUCGCGGGCCCCUGCCAGCCCGCACACCCCUGCUUCCCCCGCCGUCGCGCCACCCCCACUUGCCGAUCCGCCGCCCCUACCUCCCACGCCGGGCCGCGCGCCCCUGCUUCCCCUGCCGCCGCGCCACCCCCACCCGCCGCCAGGAAUUGCUCCGCCCCGAUCUGCUCCGUCGUGACGUCUUCGUGGCGCCGGCCGGGGUGGUCACCUACCUGGCCAACACCGACGGCCGGAGGAAGCGGACCAGCGGCGGCUCAGCGUGUUCAACGCCAUCGAAGGCGCCUACAGCGAGAACCUGCCCGUCAUCUGCAUCACCGGCGGGCCCAACUCAUCCUCCGCCACACCAUCGGCCUCCUGGACUUCUCUCAGGAGCUCCGCGGCUUCCAGACCGUCACCUGCCACCAGGCGGUGGUGACCAAUCUGGACAACGCGCACAUCAGGUCAGGCACUCAGGCAUGUCCUGGUCACUGACCGCUUUAGGAUUUGUUUGUUUGCUAGCCUAGCAUAGUUUCUUUAAUUGGAAACUCGACCAUUGAUUAUGUUCAGAAGUCCCAGUUUGUUUCAUGUUUUUAGUGCCAUCAGCUUGUGAAUUCAGUGAUUGGCGAUAAUUCUGGAAAUGUCAUGUAUAGUUCUGAACCAGAAAUGCUCUUGCAACACCUAGCUGAUAUACUUGCGAAUUUAGAGAUUGUUGGUGCACCUGGUGAACUAAAGAAAUUGUUACAAGACACAUCGACAUUGUAACCAGUGACAGGUUUACAAUUAAGUGUUAGGUAACCAGUGACUCCGCUUCACCAUCUAAAAAUGCAUACACAGAAUUGUAACUUAUUACAGAUGAACUUGCAAUGUAAGCAGAAUUUGCAACUAACUUCUGAGAGCAAACAUUUUUUUCCUUGUUUUAUAAGCACAAGGAGCAAUCGAGACUCAAGAUUACUAGCAAGUUGCCUCAUAGCUCACUGCACAAGGUCAUUAACAAGGUUUCUUUCAUUAACAAUGUGUCUAAGAAUACAACUUUAAGAUCAAGAAAUAUUAAGAAAUGUUUCUUUCAUGAUCUUUCAAAAUGGUUGCUCAGUUAAGAAUACAUACUGUACAGAGUUAUAUAUUCUUUAAUGCACUAAUGUUCCUAUUUAAUUGUAAUACACGAAUGGAUGCUUCUGGUUCAAGCAACAUAUGAGACACAGCAAUCUAUCAUCGAGGAUGGUAAUAUCCUUGCUUUGAUUUUAUUCAGUUCAAGAUUUCCACAUAUUUAAUUGGCUCAUGAUGAUGUUAAACCUGGAAUGUUACUGCGAGCUAAGGCUGCUACUGUUGAGAAAAAUUUAGCAUGUGCAAACUACAUUUGAAUAGGAAUGUAGCAAUGUAAAGAAAAAGGGGAGGAAUUUUGUGACUUUUUUUUCAGAUCUGAAUUGCUUAGAAAUUUGAAAACAACUGAAACCUGGUGAUUUUCCUCUCAAACAUGUGAAUGUAUUCUAUUCAACAACAGAUGUCCCGGUGAGUGUAUUUGUGUUCUGUACUUGGGGAUUUUUACUUAGGGAUGUGUUUUGUUUUUUUUUUUGGGGUUCAAAAUAGGAGCUGGAGUUUUGUGGUAAGGAGCAUUUCACCGGAAGAGCUAAUGGAAGAAUAAAAUUGCAACUAUGAUGCACCUUGUCUUGUACAUAAGCUUUGUUUUCCUAUUGUAAUGUCAACUAGGCAGGUUAACCCUUUUAUUUGAAAAGCAAAUCAUAAUGAUGCCUGCCACUCCCCACUCAAACAUGAAGUUUGUGUGAAACAUGAAGCCUGUUAUUCUUGUUCUGUCACUAAUUCGUCAAAAACAUGAAAUACAUUUACACAAGAUUCAAUAAACAUGAAGCCUGUUAUUCUUGUUAUGUCACUAAUUCGUCAAAAACAUGAAAUACAUUUACACAAGAUUCAAUAGUGAUGGCUAUUUUUUAUAAUCAGUUUUCUGUACUAUAGGAAGGCACUGGAAUAAGGGUAUAAUGCAUUCCCUGUCGAUAGCUAUUUUUGCAGGUAAUACACAUCAAGUUUUAGUUUAUUUUUCUUCUAAAUAUCUGGAUUUGGCUAGCAAACAUGCAAUGCUUCCAAUCAAUAGGAGCUUACCUUAUGAGAAGUGCAGAGGAACACUACACAUUCUAUUUUUAAUGGGCUUUGGUGGGAGGCUAUUUUAAUUGUUUUCGUUCCUUAUAGUAUAGAUAGAUAUCCACCGUACCCUCUCGCCCACGAGAUUAAGCCAAGUCUAUACUAUUUUGGUUAGGGUUUAAUUUUAGUGCACACACAACCACAUGUGAUUUGCUUGGCAUGCAUGCCGCACAUGGGCUCUGCUAGGUUGGAAAAGGUAUCUUUAAAGUUUCUACAAUGAAUUGUGGUUUGAUUUAAUCUCAAUUGCCAUCACCUUAAUGAAUUGUGGUUUGCUUUUUUCCUUUCAGAGCCACAUGCUUCUUAAUGCUAGGUUUCCAUCAGGUUUGGAGAGCAACACUUGGAUAGCACUUUGGGGGCCAGAUGGAUUCGCUGGAGAAACUGACUGCAUUGCUUGAUGCGUGUAGUGAGCUGGGUGUGGAUACAGGCCCAAGAAUGAUAGAGCUUUGACAAGGAGAAGGAUGUUAACAGUGUGCGCGUCCCUUCUCUAGAGAUGGUUUGUAAAGACUUUCAUGCUUGUAAAUGGCCUUCAGACCUGGCAAACGAGGAUGAGUCUAUUGCUCUUUACUUCGACAAAUUGAAUGACAAGAACCAUGAUGCUAUUGAAGAAGUAAAAAAUAGCAGCAAGCAGAUAUUAACAUUUUCACACUUCGUACCAAGUCGGCUUCCAAGAAUAUGAGAUCACAUAAUAAUUCAAGAAGUAGCCUCCUACACCGCCACUUUUAAAUUGUUUGUACACAAUGAGGCAGAUUCUGCAGGGAAUGAUAGGUGUGAGGAGAUCCACGUGAUAUCUGAGCUAUUUCUAUAGUGAGGCUAAUUUUCAGAUGCGCAAGAUGAAUUUUUCCUUUUAUUAUUAUUCUUCUUCAUGAUUGCCGAAAGAUUAAACCAUUGAAAUAGUGUGUGGAAGGUAGGCUACCUUCUGGAUCAGGGUAAGGAAACUUAACAAGAGUCAUGCUGCUGCUUGGACCACGUAUUAGAGAAGAUCGGCGUGACCUCUGCGGCCAAAGGAGCGGAAUGCUAGCCUGUCGUGAUGAUGACUAUUUGGAGUUUGUAUAUUGGAAUUUGGAAUCACGGGUUUUCCCACUCGUCAAUCCUGUCGUGCCCUUGGUCGACGAAAAUUUUUCUGAUCAGUGGCACAAAAAUUUUUCUGAUCACUGGGGCCGGUGAGAGGUAGGUAGGAAAGUUUUAGGUAAAAGUAUUUCUUGUUUUGUUUUUUAUAGUGUAGAUUUUAGUUUUCUGAUCUUGUUUUCUUCCAAUGGGUGGGAUUUGAUUGGCUCCAAAUAAAUUUAUGUAAACUCUCAUUGGUUAUUCCAUCGCGCAAUAAAUGAGACUUUUUAGUAGUUCGAUGCAA
Panicum virgatum (switchgrass) is the source of this 3797-nucleotide RNA transcript. RefSeq lists it as uncharacterized. NCBI's taxonomy places the organism in Eukaryota, Viridiplantae, Streptophyta, Magnoliopsida, Poales, Poaceae. The record is from RefSeq and is a predicted model, not a curated record. The transcript has 8 exons.